Long non-coding RNA from Macrobrachium nipponense, 510 nucleotides. RefSeq lists it as uncharacterized. The record is from RefSeq and is a predicted model, not a curated record. NCBI's taxonomy places the organism in Eukaryota, Metazoa, Arthropoda, Malacostraca, Decapoda, Palaemonidae. The transcript is spliced from 3 exons.
AACACCGCCAACCUGUGGAAGUAGCGACACUUCGGACCUCCCCGCCAACCCUAUGAAUAUAAUUAGGUUAUUCAUCCACAAAUAUAAAGGGAUCUGGGCAACAAUGUGGCUUGCUGGAAACCGCUGUUGGAAGUGUCGUAAUAGAAAGAUUCCUCUUGGUGAAAGAUGACUUCCAGCUAUUUCAAAGGUCUGACCUAAGUAAAAUAAAUCAUAAUCCAUACAUGGAUUAUGGGAAACUUGUACCUUUUAACGGACAUCUAUACCGGUUAGACAAAGAACACAAGACUACCAUAAGGUGGCGUUGCACCGUAAAAGGAUGUAAAGAUCGUCUUAUUACCAGCGCCGUAUCUAGUGCGGAAGAUAUUCCAAGCGUAAGAGGGGAACAUUGCCACCUACCAGAUUCGUCAAAAGUUGAGGUCAAGGAAUUUCAUUCUCUAUUGAUAGAAAAAGCCGUAGCUACCGCAGAUGUUCAAUGCAAGAUUAUUCAGGAUGAGGUACAAACGUUUAGUC